This 214-nucleotide ribosomal RNA is filed under the name uncultured bacterium. RNAcentral describes it as "partial 16S ribosomal RNA". It matches the Rfam family "Bacterial small subunit ribosomal RNA", at positions 1289 to 1500 of the family's 1533-position model. The record is from RNAcentral.
CAGUUCGGAUUGCAGGCUGCAACUCGCCUGUAUGAAGUCGGAAUUGCUAGUAAUCGUGGAUCAGCAUGCCACGGUGAAUACGUUCCCGGGCCUUGUACACACCGCCCGUCACACCAUGAGAGCCGGGAACACCCGAAGUCCGUAGUCUAACCUAUAUGGAGGACGCGGCCGAAGGUGGGUUUGGUAAGUUGGGGUGAAGUCGUAACAAGGUAAC